Molecule: long non-coding RNA, 711 nt
Filed under: Androctonus crassicauda
Lineage: Eukaryota; Metazoa; Arthropoda; Arachnida; Scorpiones; Buthidae
Source: RNAcentral
CACACACACACACACACACACACGAAAAAAAGAGAAAUUUGUGUGUGCAUUAAGAUAUCGAAUGCUAUAAAAAUUCCAUUUUAAUGGUGCUUCCUUUCAACCUUUCACCCGCACGUGACCGCGCGUUCGUUUCAUUAAUUAAAGUUUUUCUUUUUUUUCCCCCCUUCCUUCUUUCUGUCUUGCUUUACUUGUUAGCUAGUCGGCUCCGAUAACUUGGACUCUAGAAAACAGCUGACGUUAUUCGGUCUAACUGCGAAAAAAACAUCGCGCACGUGAAAUCAUUAUUAUAUUAAAUACAAGAUGCGCGGCCGACUGUCGUCUCUACCUCGAUCUUCCUAACUUAAUGCCUAGGAUUAAUUAAAAUAGAGACACCUGUAGAUUUAGAGGAGCAUUUACGUUUUUGUUUUUCUUAACGGAACUUUUGAUGAAAACACACGAGUCACAGCUGCGACUAAUAACCUGGAACGGCUAUGUAUCAAUGCGCGUCCUUUUCCAGUGGAUCAUCAGUCGCUUCCAUUGCCAUGGUAACGUUCGUUUUGUUCUUCUUAUUCGUUCUGCUUCUCCAUCCUAUGUGAGCUGCGUGUAUAGAAUGGUUACAGCCGUUGUCGGUUUAAAAUUCAUUUCUGCGAUGCGAUGCUUUCUUUCCUCUUUUUUUUUUUUUUUUUCUUCUUCUUCUUCUUUCUCCUCAUUUUGGAAACAAAAGCUGCUGAU